Molecule: ribosomal RNA, 261 nt
Filed under: uncultured bacterium
Lineage: Bacteria
Description: partial 16S ribosomal RNA
Rfam family: Bacterial small subunit ribosomal RNA
Source: RNAcentral
CGACCGGCGCACGGGUGCGUAACGCGUAUGCAACCUACCAUCAACAGGGGGAUAACACUGAGAAAUUGGUACUAAUACCCCAUAAUAUCCCAUGCGGCAUCGCAUGGGGUUGAAAACUCCGGUGGUUGAUGAUGGGCAUGCGUUGUAUUAGCUGGUUGGUGAGGUAACGGCUCACCAAGGCGACGAUACAUAGGGGGACUGAGAGGUUAACCCCCCACAUUGGUACUGAGACACGGACCAAACUCCUACGGAAGGCAGCAG